RNAcentral lists this ribosomal RNA (468 nucleotides) under uncultured bacterium. RNAcentral's name for it is "partial 16S ribosomal RNA". It matches the Rfam family "Bacterial small subunit ribosomal RNA", at positions 28 to 507 of the family's 1533-position model. The record is from RNAcentral.
GACGAACGCUGGCGGCGUGCUUAACACAUGCAAGUCGAACGGAAAGGCCCUGCUUUUGUGGGGCGCUCGAGUGGCGAACGGGUGAGUAACACGUGAGUAACCUGCCCUUGACUUUGGGAUAACUUCAGGAAACUGGGGCUAAUACCGGAUAGGAGCUCCUGCUGCAUGGUGGGGGUUGGAAAGUUUCGGCGGUUGGGGAUGGACUCGCGGCUUAUCAGCUUGUUGGUGGGGUAGUGGCUUACCAAGGCUUUGACGGGUAGCCGGCCUGAGAGGGUGACCGGCGACAUUGGGCCUGAGAGACGGCCCAGACUCCUACGGGAGGCAGCAGUGGGGAGUAUUGCACAAUGGGCGGAAGCCUGAUGCAGCAACGCCGCGUGCGGGAUGACGGCCUUCGGGUUGUAAACCGCUUUCGCCUGUGACGAAGCGUGAGUGACGGUAAUGGGUAAAGAAGCACCGGCUAACUACGUG